CCUACGGGAGGCAGCAGUGAGGAAUAUUGGUCAAUGGGCGGAAGCCUGAACCAGCCAAGUCGCGUGAGGGAAGAAGGCCCUGCGGGUCGUAAACUUCUUUUGUCGGGGAACAAAGGGCGCCACGUGUGGCGUUGUGAGUGUACCCGAAGAAAAAGCAUCGGCUAACUCCGUGCCAGCAGCCGCGGUAAUACGGAGGAUGCGAGCGUUAUCCGGAUUUAUUGGGUUUAAAGGGUGCGUAGGCGGUCCGGAAAGUCAGCGGUAAAAGCCCGGGGCUCAACCCCGGCGAG
RNAcentral lists this ribosomal RNA (287 nucleotides) under uncultured bacterium. RNAcentral's name for it is "partial 16S ribosomal RNA". It matches the Rfam family "Bacterial small subunit ribosomal RNA", at positions 338 to 622 of the family's 1533-position model. The record is from RNAcentral.